RNAcentral lists this ribosomal RNA (274 nucleotides) under uncultured bacterium. RNAcentral describes it as "partial 16S ribosomal RNA". It matches the Rfam family "Bacterial small subunit ribosomal RNA", at positions 523 to 796 of the family's 1533-position model. The record is from RNAcentral.
AUACGGAGGGUGCAAACGUUGCUCGGAAUAACUGGGCGUAAAGCGCGUGUAGGCGGUUUCUUAAGUCGACUGUGAAAGCCCACGGCUCAACCGUGGAAGUGCAGUCGAAACUGGGAAACUGGAGUCCUGGAGAGGGUGGCGGAAUUCCCAGUGUAGAGGUGAAAUUCGUAGAUAUUGGGAGGAACACCGGUGGCGAAGGCGGCCACCUGGACAGGUACUGACGCUGAGACGCGAAAGCGUGGGGAGCAAACAGGAUUAGAAACCCCAGUAGUCC